RNAcentral lists this long non-coding RNA (1517 nucleotides) under Homo sapiens (human). RNAcentral describes it as "epigenetically induced MYC interacting lncRNA 1". The record is from RNAcentral. Lineage: Eukaryota; Metazoa; Chordata; Mammalia; Primates; Hominidae.
GGGGCACAGGCAAGCGGACGAGCCAGUUAUCCCUCAGAGCUCCUGCUGCCUCGCCCGCUUUCUCUCGGAAACGUGAAGUGUGGCCUCAGCUGAAAGUGAGGUGGGCCUCAUUCAAUCAGUUGAAUUCUUCAAGAGAGAAAAACUGAAGUCCCUUAGAAGGAAAGAGUUCUGCCUUCAGACUGUCUUUGAACUUAAGACUGUAGCGUCGACUCCUGCCGGAAUUUCCAGCCUGCUGGCCAGCUCUGCAGAUUCACACUUGCCAGCCUCCACAAUCGGGCAGUGGAAGAAGACUGCUCAGAGAGGGACUGGAUGGCCAUUUUGGUGGAAGCUCAGUGGUUUAGACUUGAAUCUUGGAUUUAGACCGCGUGACCUUCAGGUCCACAUUAAAGCUGAAACUUUAUGACUCUGAAUUGGAAUGGAAGACCGACUUGAACCCAAAUGUAUGCUCAGAAAUUCUGCAAGCAGCUUCAUUACUGAAUUACUCCAUUUCUAAUCUCACACUCGUAAUGCAAAUGGGCUUACUAAAGCUGGUUAUCAGGGAAAUCUAAUUUAAUUUCACUGUCUGAUGAAGAUGAUGUCUAGAUGGGUACUAUAUUCUUGACUGGCUUUAUUGAACAUACUUUAAUGUUAAGUGUCUUCGAAUAUUACAUUUUCAGGUACUUGCAUGGGCUGCUCUCAGCUAAGAGUUUCAGAUCUGAAUGUUAACUUUGGAGUCCACUUUUAGGUCACCAAGGGAGCUAUGAUAUCUCAGUAAAGUCACUUUAGCUUUCUCAGAUGCAGUUUCCUCACUUGAAAAAAAUUAGGCAAGUAAGGCUUGGCUGCCUCACAGGCUUACUUCAAAGUCAUAUAUAACUGAAAACUCCUAAACAUAAACAAGGGAGAGAUUAUUGUUCAAUUUUUGUGUCUAAGGAAGCCAUGGUCCAUAAUCUUCACAUCAGUGCAAAAACAUCACUGCACUAUGGUGACAAGUCAAUGCUUCUGUGGACAGAGACUUUUGUACAACAGAAUUCUUGCCUUGAAGGAAUAACAAAAAUUUAUCUAGGGACUUAAAAGGCUAUUUAAAAAUAUUCUCCAUGUAAAGAUAAACUUUAAGAAUAAUAUUUGCAUAGCUAUUAAUUUAAUUAGUACAUGCCUACAUCAAAGCCAAUGUAUCUAACUAGAACCUAAGUUAUUUUCCUGCAUCUCAGUGUUUCUUCGAUUUGAAAGUAGUCACUGUUUCCUAACUGACCAGUUUACAAUAACCAUGGGAGGCACCUUGGCUCAUCCUUCUAAUGAGUUUGUUGGUCUGGUCUUUCCUGCUGCCAGCAGCUCCUUCCAUAAAGUAGGUGGUCCCUCACUCCAGCUCAUAGAGAAAACUUGAAGAGCCCUGGAAAGUUGUUUGCUUCUUUGAAGCGUUUUCCAACAGUAUAGAGCUCAGGAAUCAGACCCUUGAUGCAGAUGAUACUGUAUUUCCCAAGAGGUCCAGCAAUCAAAAAGCUCUCUGUCAAGGUAAUUUGCUUCCCAUUGAUUUUGCCCAU